RNAcentral lists this ribosomal RNA (2928 nucleotides) under Klebsiella sp. FDAARGOS_511. RNAcentral's name for it is "23S ribosomal RNA". It matches the Rfam family "Bacterial large subunit ribosomal RNA". The record is from RNAcentral. Lineage: Bacteria; Pseudomonadati; Pseudomonadota; Gammaproteobacteria; Enterobacterales; Enterobacteriaceae.
GGGUUGUGAGGUUAAGCGACUAAGCGUACACGGUGGAUGCCCUGGCAGUCAGAGGCGAUGAAGGACGUGCUAAUCUGCGAAAAGCGUCGGUAAGGUGAUAUGAACCGUUACAGCCGGCGAUGUCCGAAUGGGGAAACCCAGUGCAAUUCGUUGCACUAUCGUUUGAUGAAUACAUAGUCAAACGAGGCGAACCGGGGGAACUGAAACAUCUAAGUACCCCGAGGAAAAGAAAUCAACCGAGAUUCCCCCAGUAGCGGCGAGCGAACGGGGAGCAGCCCGGAGUCUGAAUCAGCUUGUGUGUUAGUGGAAGCGUCUGGAAAGUCGCAGGGUACAGGGUGAUACUCCCGUACACUAAAACACACAGGUUGUGAACUCGAAGAGUAGGGCGGGACACGUGGUAUCCUGUCUGAAUAUGGGGGGACCAUCCUCCAAGGCUAAAUACUCCUGACUGACCGAUAGUGAACCAGUACCGUGAGGGAAAGGCGAAAAGAACCCCGGCGAGGGGAGUGAAAAAGAACCUGAAACCGUGUACGUACAAGCAGUAGGAGCCCACUUGUUGGGUGACUGCGUACCUUUUGUAUAAUGGGUCAGCGACUUAUAUUCUGUAGCAAGGUUAACCGUAUAGGGGAGCCGCAGGGAAACCGAGUCUUAACUGGGCGUUAAGUUGCAGGGUAUAGACCCGAAACCCGGUGAUCUAGCCAUGGGCAGGUUGAAGGUUGGGUAACACUAACUGGAGGACCGAACCGACUAAUGUUGAAAAAUUAGCGGAUGACUUGUGGCUGGGGGUGAAAGGCCAAUCAAACCGGGAGAUAGCUGGUUCUCCCCGAAAGCUAUUUAGGUAGCGCCUCGUGAAUUCAUCUUCGGGGGUAGAGCACUGUUUCGGCUAGGGGGUCAUCCCGACUUACCAACCCGAUGCAAACUACGAAUACCGAAGAAUGUUAUCACGGGAGACACACGGCGGGUGCUAACGUCCGUCGUGAAGAGGGAAACAACCCAGACCGCCAGCUAAGGUCCCAAAGUCAUGGUUAAGUGGGAAACGAUGUGGGAAGGCCCAGACAGCCAGGAUGUUGGCUUAGAAGCAGCCAUCAUUUAAAGAAAGCGUAAUAGCUCACUGGUCGAGUCGGCCUGCGCGGAAGAUGUAACGGGGCUAAACCAUGCACCGAAGCUGCGGCAGCGACGCUUAGGCGUUGUUGGGUAGGGGAGCGUUCUGUAAGCCGUUGAAGGUGGCCUGUGAGGGUUGCUGGAGGUAUCAGAAGUGCGAAUGCUGACAUAAGUAACGAUAAUGCGGGUGAAAAACCCGCACGCCGGAAGACCAAGGGUUCCUGUCCAACGUUAAUCGGGGCAGGGUGAGUCGACCCCUAAGGCGAGGCCGAAAGGCGUAGUCGAUGGGAAACAGGUUAAUAUUCCUGUACUUGGUGUUACUGCGAAGGGGGGACGGAGAAGGCUAUGUUGGCCGGGCGACGGUUGUCCCGGUUUAAGCGUGUAGGUGUGUGUUCCAGGUAAAUCCGGUUCACUUUAACACUGAGGCGUGAUGACGAGGCACUACGGUGCUGAAGUGACAAAUGCCCUGCUUCCAGGAAAAGCCUCUAAGCAUCAGGUAACAUCAAAUCGUACCCCAAACCGACACAGGUGGUCAGGUAGAGAAUACCAAGGCGCUUGAGAGAACUCGGGUGAAGGAACUAGGCAAAAUGGUGCCGUAACUUCGGGAGAAGGCACGCUGAUAUGUAGGUGAAGUGAUUUACUCAUGGAGCUGAAAUCAGUCGAAGAUACCAGCUGGCUGCAACUGUUUAUUAAAAACACAGCACUGUGCAAACACGAAAGUGGACGUAUACGGUGUGACGCCUGCCCGGUGCCGGAAGGUUAAUUGAUGGGGUUAUCCGUAAGGAGAAGCUCUUGAUCGAAGCCCCGGUAAACGGCGGCCGUAACUAUAACGGUCCUAAGGUAGCGAAAUUCCUUGUCGGGUAAGUUCCGACCUGCACGAAUGGCGUAAUGAUGGCCAGGCUGUCUCCACCCGAGACUCAGUGAAAUUGAACUCGCUGUGAAGAUGCAGUGUACCCGCGGCAAGACGGAAAGACCCCGUGAACCUUUACUAUAGCUUGACACUGAACACUGGUCCUUGAUGUGUAGGAUAGGUGGGAGGCUUUGAAGUGUGGACGCCAGUCUGCAUGGAGCCAUCCUUGAAAUACCACCCUUUAAUGGCUGGUGUUCUAACGUGGGCCCGUAAUCCGGGUUGCGGACAGUGUCUGGUGGGUAGUUUGACUGGGGCGGUCUCCUCCUAAAGAGUAACGGAGGAGCACGAAGGUCAGCUAAUCCUGGUCGGACAUCAGGAGGUUAGUGCAAUGGCAUAAGCUGGCUUGACUGCGAGCGUGACGGCGCGAGCAGGUGCGAAAGCAGGUCAUAGUGAUCCGGUGGUUCUGAAUGGAAGGGCCAUCGCUCAACGGAUAAAAGGUACUCCGGGGAUAACAGGCUGAUACCGCCCAAGAGUUCAUAUCGACGGCGGUGUUUGGCACCUCGAUGUCGGCUCAUCACAUCCUGGGGCUGAAGUAGGUCCCAAGGGUAUGGCUGUUCGCCAUUUAAAGUGGUACGCGAGCUGGGUUUAGAACGUCGUGAGACAGUUCGGUCCCUAUCUGCCGUGGGCGCUGGAGAAUUGAGGGGGGCUGCUCCUAGUACGAGAGGACCGGAGUGGACGCAUCACUGGUGUUCGGGUUGUCAUGCCAAUGGCAUUGCCCGGUAGCUAAAUGCGGAAGAGAUAAGUGCUGAAAGCAUCUAAGUACGAAACUUGCCCCGAGAUGAGUUCUCCCUGACUCCUUGAGAGUCCUGAAGGAACGUUGAAGACGACGACGUUGAUAGGCCGGGUGUGUAAGCGCAGCGAUGCGUUGAGCUAACCGGUACUAAUGAACCGUGAGGCUUAACCUUACAACGCCGAAG